GCUGCAGCAUACCUUUCCUGCUGCAGCUUCCCAACAAUAACAUUGAAAGAGGGGAAGGGUCUUGACAGGAGGCUGCUGUCUUUUAGGAGAGCUGGGUCCCUGGAUGUCAGAGCUGAGGGGGCAUGCAAACCAUGUGAGUAGCAGCCCACACCAGGCCCCGAGGUCUGCUAUCUGCCUGCCGCCCACUGCUGACCAGCGCUCACUGCCGCACGCUGCACCGCCACUGAAAUCUGACCACCGCAGACAACAACUGGCGGUGGUCAGAGGGACAUCAACGCCGCAGCAACGAAGGACAGCUUAGUACCGCCGCAUCCCCCGCAGACCAUGGGCUCAUCUGCCACCGACAACCACAGUGCCUUCCGCACCUCCGCUGCACAUAACAGGAGCUAAGUAGGAGACCUCUGUCUCCCGACAUGUCACUGUACAGCCUCACAUAGCCUUAGGACAUAGAGAUCUUGGUGGUCAUCUUGGGAUAGGACAUGGAGCAUUCCGGAAGUACAAGAAGACUGUCGUCAGCAGUAGCGCACUCCUCUUCUAACAUUAAAAUAAAGACAAGUACUGUAGCUCUCAGUCCAGCCAGUUUUCCUAGCUGACCCAGGUACUGUAUGUGGUUCAGAUAUCAAAAAAUCUGAAUCCACCCGAAAUCUUUGGAUCUGAACCGAACCAAGACCCAGUCCGGAUCUCCUGAGGAGAUCCAAUUUGAACCGUGACUCAGUUUGGAUCUUCCCGCGGUUCAGAAUGUACAUUUUAAAUCCGAAUUUUGGGGUUUGGAUAGGGGCGUGCACUGGCCCAUUUUUUGAGUUAUGUGUUUUGGUUUUGGAUCUUUGUCUCCUUCAUGUUUUGGAUCUGUAUUGGUUAUGCAAAAACCGCACUUGCAAGUUUUAGUUUUGGAUCUGUAUUUUAAAAAUAAUAAUAAAAAAACAGCUAAAAUAACAACAAAACAAUAUUGUUU
This is a long non-coding RNA of Pseudophryne corroboree (corroboree frog), 952 nucleotides long. RefSeq lists it as uncharacterized. The transcript has 3 exons. Lineage: Eukaryota; Metazoa; Chordata; Amphibia; Anura; Myobatrachidae. The record is from RefSeq and is a predicted model, not a curated record.